GGAAAAAACUCUGCUCAGUUCGGAUUGCAGUCUGCAACUCGACUGCAUGAAGCCGGAAUCGCUAGUAAUGGCGUAUCAGAUCGACGCCGUGAAUACGUUCCCGGGCCUUGUACACACCGCCCGUCACAUCACGAAAGUGAGUUGUACUAGAAGUCGCCGCGCAAACCGCAAGGAUGCAAGCGCCCAAGGUAUGACUCAUGAUUGGGGUGAAGUCGUAACAAGGUAGCCGUAGGAGAACCUGCGGCUGGAUCACCUCCUUUCUAAAGA
Molecule: ribosomal RNA, 267 nt
Filed under: Acidobacteriota bacterium
Lineage: Bacteria; Pseudomonadati; Acidobacteriota
Description: Acidobacteria bacterium partial 16S ribosomal RNA
Rfam family: Bacterial small subunit ribosomal RNA
Source: RNAcentral